CCUCUGUUGAUCUUCAAACAUGUGGGAUUUGCUCAAAGCUGUUGGCUGAGAAAUCUUUGUGGAGCAGCCAUAAGCUCGGUUUAAGUAAUGAGCUGUCUAUGGUUGCCGUUCUAACUUGUGGGCAUGUUUAUCAUGCUGAGUGUUUGGAGACUAUGACGCCUGAAAUUAGCAAGUAUGAUCCUCCUUGCCCUGUUUGUACUUUGGGGGAGAAGCAGACACAGAAGCUGUCUCAAAAAGCUUUUAAAGCAGAAAUGGAGUUGAAUGCAAAAAACAAGAAGUCAAGGAACCGGGUUGUGGACAGUGAUUUUGAUGGUGAUUCCAUUAUGUUUGAUCGCCUGAAAGUUAGUGGGCAUGCAGGAAAGGAUCCCAAGAUGGCCACCAGUUCCAGCAUGAAGGGCUCCUUAGCUAAGCCUUUCUUGAAGAGGCAUUUUUCGCUUGGAUCGAAGGUAAGUAAAUCCUUAGCAGCAGAGAACAACACAACCAAAAAGAAGGGAUUCUUCUGGACAAGAUCCUUGAAGGUGUGAGGUUUUUACUAACGUUUUAAGAGUUCAGGUUUUGGCACGUCCAUCUCAUUUGUGUACUGCUUUUGCAAGUACAAAUAACUGAAAGCUGUCUUCCCAUUAUGAAAAAUGGAAAGAUUGUUGCCUCUAGGCCUUUAUACAUAACAUCAUUUAUCCUCUAGUUAUACAGUGCUGUUGAAAUUAUUGAUCAGAAAAAAAAAUAUAGAUUUGCAGUUAUGACUAUUGUUGUUGGUUUUAUCAUUUAUACUCUUAGCCUUUCAAAUUGGUGUCAAUUGUAGCUAAAUUUAAACAAGUUGAUGCUGAAACUCUCAAAUUCGUGAUAUAUAUUUUAUUU
RNAcentral lists this unclassified non-coding RNA (855 nucleotides) under Hevea brasiliensis (rubber tree). The record is from RNAcentral. Lineage: Eukaryota; Viridiplantae; Streptophyta; Magnoliopsida; Malpighiales; Euphorbiaceae.